GGAGGUGUAGCUCAGUGACAGAGUACUUUCCUAGCAUGUAUGUACAUAGGUCCUGGGUUCAAUUCUCAGCAUCACCC
RNAcentral lists this transfer RNA (77 nucleotides) under Heterocephalus glaber (naked mole-rat). It matches the Rfam family "tRNA". From Rfam's summary of the family: Transfer RNA (tRNA) molecules are approximately 80 nucleotides in length. Their secondary structure includes four short double-helical elements and three loops (D, anti-codon, and T loops). Further hydrogen bonds mediate the characteristic L-shaped molecular structure. tRNAs have two regions of fundamental functional importance: the anti-codon, which is responsible for specific mRNA codon recognition, and the 3' end, to which the tRNAs corresponding amino acid is attached (by aminoacyl-tRNA synthetases). tRNAs cope with the degeneracy of the genetic code in two manners: having more than one tRNA (with a specific anti-codon) for a particular amino acid; and 'wobble' base-pairing, i.e. permitting non-standard base-pairing at the 3rd anti-codon position. The record is from Rfam by way of RNAcentral. Lineage: Eukaryota; Metazoa; Chordata; Mammalia; Rodentia; Bathyergidae.